CCUACGGGUGGCAGCAGUGAGGAAUAUUGGUCAAUGGACGGAAGUCUGAACCAGCCAUGCCGCGUGCAGGAAGACUGCCCUAUGAGUUGUAAACUGCUUUUGUACAAGGGUAAACCUGAAUACGUGUAUUCAGCUGACAGUACUGUACGAAUAAGGAUCGGCUAACUCCGUGCCAGCAGCCGCGGUAAUACGGAGGAUCCAAGCGUUAUCCGGAUUUAUUGGGUUUAAAGGGUGCGUAGGCGGAUUUAUAAGUUAGGGGUGAAAUGUUCGAGCUUAAAUCGGGAACCGCCACUAAUACUGUUGAUCUAGAGAGUAGAUGAGGUAGGCGGAAUGUAUGAGGUAGCGGUGAAAUGCUUAGAGAUCAUACAGAACACCGAUUGCGAAGGCAGCUUACCAAUCUAUAUCUGACGUUGAGGCACGAAAGCGUGGGGAGCAAACAGGAUUAGAUACCCCUGUAGUC
RNAcentral lists this ribosomal RNA (460 nucleotides) under uncultured bacterium. Its description in RNAcentral is "partial 16S ribosomal RNA". It matches the Rfam family "Bacterial small subunit ribosomal RNA", at positions 338 to 795 of the family's 1533-position model. The record is from RNAcentral.